Molecule: long non-coding RNA, 1893 nt
Organism: Malurus melanocephalus (red-backed fairy wren)
Lineage: Eukaryota; Metazoa; Chordata; Aves; Passeriformes; Maluridae
Exons: 4
Source: RefSeq, a predicted model, not a curated record
CGAGGCCGCGCGGAGCCGGGCAGCGCGGCGGGGCGGGGAUGGUUCCGCGGAGCCCUCAGGGCGGCCCGGCCCCGCUCCGGCCCCGCUCCGGCCCUCAGCCCCGCUGAGGGAGCCUUGGCCCUGCGCCCGGACGUGUGGAGAGCUGCUCUGCGCGUCUUGGCUGCCCUGGAAUCAUCCAGAGGGAAAUACAAGGAAAUUUGGUCAAAGAGCAGUGGCACAAAGAGGUUUGCCAAUUCACUGCCCGUCAAACUAGGCCCAUUUUUUUGUGUAAACCUUUAAUAACUUACUUCAUUACUCUGUGCCAUUAUUCUAAUACACUGUAGAUUUGCAAGGCAUUCUUUAAAGCUCCCCCAUUCCUAUGAGCACCCAGUAUUUGUAAUACUCGUCCCUUCCUUGAAAUGCUUUGAGAUUGUGGUUGAAGUCAGUUACAUAAAAGUUAAUGGUUAUAAAUUUAGACAGAGUUCUCAUUCUAUAAAGGUCAACACCUGAAUUCUUCCUGUAUGGCUUUWUCCGAAGACUAUCAUGUGGGAGUACCCACAUGCCAGAAAGCAAGGUAGCAUUUGUACAAAGGGGCAUUGUUUUUCAGGUUAGAUAAAAAGUGGAAGGAUGAUGCUGUAAUAAUUUACAGUGUGUAUUAUGAAAUUUCUGUUUCAYAAAAUAUCAAUCCGUAUAUUAUCUUUCCUAUUAGUUCUGCAUACAAAGUCGUUCUAGAUCUAGUAGAUCAGAGUAGUUUUAGAUACUUCUGAUGAGUUAAAAAAAAGCAAGUAGGUAUUUUAACAGUUCUAAAUAAACAUCUACCUUAACUCCUCCUCUCAAAUGGCUUUUGUUUGUUUUAAGGUGUUUUGAAAAGCACCUACGUGUACCAGGGUGUUUUACUUCUGAAACCCGGAUCUAACGUCCUAGUUGAGUAUGCAACCAURGCAGUCACCACUAGAAAUAAAACCUGCUUACCUAGGACUAGUUAUAACUCUGGAAAGGCUGACUGAUGAUCAAGACAAAAACUUUGRUAGUCUUCCACAAGUAAUAAAAUUGUGCCUUACAUGCCUUUCCAACAAUGCUGAUGCAAUGGCUAGYAAAUAUGACUCAGUGGAGAAGGAGAAAAAUGGAACUGGAAAUGUAUAYUCUUUCUCUUCAACUGCUUAGUUAUUAAUUUUCCAAAGAAAGGAGUUCAUCCUGCAGUUUAGACAUUAGGACUUGCCUCUUUUUAAGGUGAUUUUAUGAAAAUGUUUCACAAGGCACUCAGAAGAAACAUAAACAAUCUUCCAGGUUAAAAAGUUGCCAUAAGUGCACGUGGUGGAAGAUGGAAACAAGCACGGUGAGCUCAAGGUCUCCCGGAAGCCCGGCUGUCUCGGCCCCGAGAAAUUCCCUGCCGGACAGCGCAGCAGCGGACAGAGCAGCGCAGCCACCGGCGGGGCGCGGGCAGCCCCGGUACCCGCGGGCACAGGCGCAGCACGGAGGAGCUGAGCGCUGCCGGGGACGAGAGAAGGCAAAAGUGUCCUCGGUGGUCGGGAUGCCUUUUUUCCCGAACGGAUUUGGGAUCGCGAUGCAGAUGACCGACCUUUAGMGGAAAUCUGAAAGCCGAGCAGUGCAGAGAACACAAACACACGCACACACGCGCGAGAAGGAGCCGUCAAGGCUGCGAAGCGACAGAAAGCUGUGGGAUGGCUAGAACCGAGCCCCACUGCGGCCGGCGGGCUGCCCCGGGGGCGGGGGAGCGGCGGAGCUCAGCCCGCCCCCGCUCUCUGCCCCUUGACGUGGCGCGGACUCUCCCAUCAGCCAUGUUGAUGCGUCGGCAGCGCCGGGGCGGCUGCGAGCAGGCGGGAGGGGAGAGUGAGCGCAGCGGGAUCGGCGGCGGCGGCGGCCGGGACCCGGGUGAGCGGGCAGAGCAGGGCU